Molecule: unclassified non-coding RNA, 272 nt
Filed under: Hevea brasiliensis (rubber tree)
Lineage: Eukaryota; Viridiplantae; Streptophyta; Magnoliopsida; Malpighiales; Euphorbiaceae
Source: RNAcentral
UACCGUUUCCUGCUAAAACAUUUUGCAAUUUGAUCGGCUCUUGUGAACUGGAGUUUGCAGUAGAUUUGAAAAUGAAAUUAGUAGGAAGAGGUGUUUGCAUAAACGAUGGUUUAAAUUCCCCAAAUUCACCAUUACCAUCGACGUUCAACUGAAAUGCCAGCAUUAGAACCAGAACUACUAUCACUGAAACUACUCAAAAACCCAUCAUCUGGGCUAUCAACUAAAAAUUGGUCACCAUAGGAGGAGGAUUGAUUGGGUGAAGACAGGUUCUU